ACGGAGGACCCAAGCGUUAUCCGGAUUUAUUGGGUUUAAAGGGUGCGUAGGCGGAUUUAUAAGUCAGUGGUGAAAUCCUACAGCUUAACUGUAGAACUGCCAUUGAUACUGUAGAUCUUGAGUACGGUUGAGGUGGGCGGAAUGUGUCAUGUAGCGGUGAAAUGCUUAGAUAUGACACAGAACACCAAUUGCGAAGGCAGCUCGCUAAACCGUAACUGACGCUGAGGCACGAAAGCGUGGGGAGCGAACAGG
This 252-nucleotide ribosomal RNA is filed under the name uncultured bacterium. RNAcentral's name for it is "partial 16S ribosomal RNA". It matches the Rfam family "Bacterial small subunit ribosomal RNA", at positions 525 to 776 of the family's 1533-position model. The record is from RNAcentral.